UGGGUUCAGAAACUAGGAUUCACAUUCACCUGCUGCCUCUGGCUUGCUCUUUCAGGUAUAUCUCUGGUCUUUUCCUCUUUUUUUUUGAUCAAAAGUCUCUGCUCUUUUCUUUAUCAUCAUUUCUUGUGAUUCCUUCUGAGAACAGAGCACAAAAGAUAUGAUGCAUUAGCUUUGGUUAUCUAUCAAAUCGUAAAUCGUAUACAGAACUACUAUAAACAGCUCUCAUCAUAUGUUUAUUCUUAGAAGAAGUAAUAGCACCAAACUUUGAUAUAGACUUUUUGAGUAUACAACAAGUCAAAGCAAUUUCAGGAAAAAGCCAAAUUUUCUCUAAGAAUAAUAAGAAUCUAGUGGUCUUUUUUAAUUGACAAGGUUUGAGUACACGACUGCCUUCCAUCACUCUCAUUUCUCUAGAUGGGACCUAUUUUGCAAAUUUAGUCCAAUAUUUUUUCGUUUUCUGAUUAACUGCAUGAAUGGUACCAUUGUGUCACAGGUCAGAGGCCCAAAAAAACAAGCACAGGUGUAUAUCAAAGCGUGUUCUGUCAGAGAAAAACUUACAAAUGAAUAACCAAGGAAGUCAGAACGUUGCAACUUGCAAGCCCGUCACUACAUUUGUCCACACUGACACCGACACUUUCAGAGAAGUCGUGCAGCGCUUGACAGGUCCAUCAGAGAGCAAUGCUGCAGCAAUACCAGAAGC
RNAcentral lists this long non-coding RNA (697 nucleotides) under Brassica rapa (field mustard). RNAcentral's name for it is "long non-coding RNA (BRAP_LNC001698)". Lineage: Eukaryota; Viridiplantae; Streptophyta; Magnoliopsida; Brassicales; Brassicaceae. The record is from RNAcentral.